CCGGGAAGAUGCGCUGAGACCUGGUUAUGUGAGUCCCGGCCGGGAGGGCCAACGCACGCUCCCCUUCUCAGCCCUCUGUGCUUGCGGUCCUGAAGCACCCGAAAAAGCCGAGACGGGAGCGUCAGUGCAGAGAUGAGGACAGGCGAGCCCUUGGCCGCCUCCGGCUUCCCACAGCAUCUGCGUCUGAGUGUCUAUGACGGAGACGCUGACAAGGAGCGGGUUCUCGGUGGUGUUGGUGAGCGGCUCCCUUCCCCUCGUGAGGUUCCCCUGAGGAACAGGUGCCGUUAAACAGAGCCCCUCCCCACCCCCCCAGACUCCUGCGUCAGCUGCGUCCUCCUGUUCCACGGGGAAGGACAGCCAGCCGGCUGUUGACCAUGGGUCCAGACUCCACUCAGUCUCCUCAUCGCGGAAGCGGCUCUCAGCGUGGUGAGGAUUUACAUGAGCUGAGGCCUCAGUAAAGCCUGAAACGCCCCAGGAAUGUUGAAAGAAAUGAAAUGUGGAAGAGAUCACACAAUACCUGGGUAUUCGGCGUGCCGUGAUCAAGAGGCGAGAAUUUAGGAAGGAACGCCACACUGGAAAUACGUUUAAUACCUCUAAGAACACUGUCAAGUGACUUGGAAGCAAACCGCAGAACGGGACAGCAUCCCCUGGGUGGCUGUUGGUGCGGCAGGCAGAACCUGCAGUAAAGGGGUGUGAGGUACCCGCUCCGUUUCCUUGUGUUAUUGACAAGAGUGUAUGCCACACGUACACACACACUCACGGACUUCCACAAAAACUGAUGUGCUAUCUCACUGAUUCCCAGAGGCAUGAUUCAACAUUCUAGAAACUGUAUUUAAAACUUCAACACUUGAUAGAAUUUUUUAGCAAAGUUCUGUAUUCAUGUAACGGCAACUUGAUUUUCUCACAUUCUACCCUAAUCUCUGACUCACUGAACAUACCAGACUUCCAAUAAACUAAACUCCUAUAAUAUGUA
Molecule: long non-coding RNA, 973 nt
Organism: Suricata suricatta (meerkat)
Lineage: Eukaryota; Metazoa; Chordata; Mammalia; Carnivora; Herpestidae
Exons: 3
Source: RefSeq, a predicted model, not a curated record